Mercurialis annua (annual mercury) is the source of this 1773-nucleotide long non-coding RNA. RefSeq lists it as uncharacterized. The record is from RefSeq and is a predicted model, not a curated record. The transcript is spliced from 2 exons. Lineage: Eukaryota; Viridiplantae; Streptophyta; Magnoliopsida; Malpighiales; Euphorbiaceae.
AUAAUGUAUGAGAAGCAAAAAUAUGAUUUUAUUGAGUUUGUGGAGGCACCUAAAAAUUACAUAUGGGUUUUGUAGAUGAUUGAGGAUCUAAGCUUAGGUGUUGAAGAGUAAGAAGAACUUAUUGAAGACUAUUGAUUUUAUAAUCCAUAGAUGUGUAGAUGAUUAAGCCUUGGAAGGAUGAGAAUGAGUGUGUUUUCUCUAAUGGAGGCCUUUGGUUGUAUAGUUUGAUUGAACAAAAUAUUUUGGAAAGAGAAGAGGAAAACAUGUCUUCAAAGCUAAAUAUAGCCAAGAAUGAAGGAGCAACUUGAAAAUAUAAAUAUAGCCUGUAUCUUUUUGGCAAAAUGAUUGCGCUUUGCAAUAUUUAUGCAAGAAAACAUUCAGAAUUGAGGAACAUAUGUACAUCAACUGUUGAUCAGUGACUGAAAUUCUUCUAUCUUUGGUGCAUUACAUAAAACACCUACUUUUAUAUCAGUCUACAAAAUAUCUGCUGGUUGGUGGACACCAUGGGUGACGAAAGUAAGGCAUCGCAUUGCGAAUCGAAAAGAAUGAACAUUUGGCGGGUGUCUUCCACAGGUUGUGCUCGACAAAAAAUUUGAUAACAAGCCAUUAAAAAUUUACUAGAGGUCAUUUGAUGGUGGAAUCAAACUUACCUCUUGUAAAUCUUUAAUGGCUUGUUCAACUGCAUAGAUUAUCAUUUUCUUGAUCUGUUGAUGGAAAAAGGAUCAAUAAGAUACUUAAAUGGUAUAGUCAGGUUUACUGAACUCGAGUAUCUUGUUAACAGAAAAAGAUUAAUUACCUCAAGUUUAUCCUCUCUUGCUCUAUGGUUUUUGGGAAGGUGUCGGAACUCCUCCGUUAAGCGAAGACAUUCAUGGAUAUUCUCAGGAGAGACAAAAUCCACAGCAACUUUGGUACAUGACUGCUCGGACAAGUAAGAAGGCAGAAAAGGGAAAGCUUAGUUCUCGUGCUCAAGAAUAUCAUAACUAUUAUACUAGCAGUAUCAUUGCAGCUGUUUGAAAGCGCUAUCUUCUGUUCAAAAAUAGGGGGAUGAAAUACCUUGAGGUUCCUAACUUGGUGCGGACAGCCGGCAGGGAUAAAUACGGCUUCUCCAACACUUUGUUCAAAUGUCCACGGUUCAACACCUACAUGAUUCAAGAGGAUCAGUCAAGAAAUCUAAUCUUGGAAAAAGCACAAAAAGAAUAUAAAUACAGAUUUCUUAAUCCACUAACCAUAUUCCUCUUUCAGCUUCUUUUUGUGCUCCAGAGUUAAAUAAAAACACUGGUCAUGAAUUGGAUGGAUAACCUACUUGGAACCAGGUUAGCUGUUAGUAUCCCACAAUUGGCAUUGAAUUAAAAAAAAAAAACUCAAGAGUCAGCAUAUAGUACCUGUUUCACAGGAGAAGAAAAAGUAUGCCUGAAUUCUAUGUGAUGCUUUCUCAGAUAUUCUCCUAGCUUGGGGACAUCCUCCCUCCUAAAAAUGUCCCACAAUGCACCACAUGUUUCCCCUUUUGUCACUUGGGUACUUGCAUUAGCAUUGAUGGGUUCUCUUAGCUCAUUCUCACUGAUUUCAGAGUUAUUUUCUGUCUCUCCAAUGAGAGAUGCAUCAUCCAUGUCUUCCAUCCAACUGCCACUGCACUCUUCAGGUUGUAUGGUGUUACUAUUGCGCUUACUUUUGUUGUCCCGUUCUAGACUCUCUUUCUCAUCCUGUGCCCUGUGUUUUCUUUUAAGCUUCUGUAUGCAAACUUGCUGAUCUUCUCCUAAGGUUACCUCUUCAGAA